This is a non-coding RNA of Nylanderia fulva, 717 nucleotides long. The record is from RefSeq and is a predicted model, not a curated record. Lineage: Eukaryota; Metazoa; Arthropoda; Insecta; Hymenoptera; Formicidae.
UCACGGUUGGGUGGAAUAUCGUUUCCAUAUCUUUUCGCAAAAAUUCUUCAUUUUAAAAAAACGUUCUUGCCACUUUAAGAUAUUUGCAGAAAAUAGCUUAUAAAAAUAGUUAUGUUAAAGUUAUUAUGUACUAUAUAGUUACAUUACCCUACAGAACCCUCCACGUUUUGCAAGAAUGGAGAAACAUACAUGGAUAGGAUCUUUCAAAUGCAUUCAACUUGAGCAGCGGGAUAGCAUUUGUGAUUCACGCGUGUGUCGGGAGUGCCGUGUAAAGUUCCGCGUAUCGGGAGUGCCGUGUGAAGUUUCGCGCGUCGGGAGUGCCGUAUAUAGUGUCGGGCGAUCGUAAUUAUUUGUAUUUUCGCGAGUGUUGUGAGUGCUACCAAGAGAGGAGGAGGAGGCCUGGGAAGGCAUCGAGCGACAGCAGAGUAACUGUGAGAUCACUAUGUGCUGAGUACUACAACUUCACUAUUGCACGUGGCGGCUCUACUCGGUAUAUAUACGGACGAUGACGACGAUGACGACGAUUUGCACAUGGAUGUAGGUAUGUAUGGUAUACGUAGCGCCGCAGAAGAGUUGCCCUAUAUAUCGCCCGCGUGAAUUACCGGGUAUUACUUCGUAUGAGUGAGUUUGUAAGAUCUAUUGAGUUAUUAUACGUCGCGUUACGUAACGCACGAUGAGCGAAAUGCAAAUCGGAUAUUAUAUAUAUAUAUAUAUAUG